RNAcentral lists this transfer RNA (71 nucleotides) under Terebellides stroemii. RNAcentral describes it as "tRNA-Ile". Lineage: Eukaryota; Metazoa; Annelida; Polychaeta; Terebellida; Trichobranchidae. The record is from RNAcentral.
AGUAUUGCGCCGGAAUUGAACGGAUAGCUCUGAUGCUGCUAAUUAUGAAAUGACUAAAAUUUCCAAUACUU